RNAcentral lists this ribosomal RNA (446 nucleotides) under uncultured bacterium. RNAcentral describes it as "bacterial SSU rRNA". It matches the Rfam family "Bacterial small subunit ribosomal RNA", at positions 330 to 792 of the family's 1533-position model. The record is from RNAcentral.
UCCAGACUCCUACGGGAGGCAGCAGUGGGGGAUAUUGCACAAUGGGGGGAACCCUGAUGCAGCGACGCCGCGUGGGUGAAGGAGCGUUUCGGCGCGUAAAGCCCUAUCGGCAGGGAAGAAGGAGGACGGUACCUGACUAAGAAGCCCCGGAUAACUACGUGCCAGCAGCCGCGGUAAUACGUAGGGGGCAAGCGUUAUCCGGAUUUACUGGGUGUAAAGGGGGCGCAGACGGCAGCGCAAGCCAGGAGUGAAAGCCCGGGGCCCAACCCCGGGACUGCUCUUGGAACUGCGCGGCUGGAGUGCAGGAGGGGCAGGCGGAAUUCCUGGUGUAGCGGUGAAAUGCGUAGAUAUUAGGAGGAACACCAGUGGCGAAGGCGGCCUGCUGGACGACAACUGACGGUGAGGCGCGAAAGCGUGGGGAGCAAACAGGAUUAGAUACCCCGGUA